CCUACGGGAGGCAGCAGUGGGGAAUCUUGCACAAUGGAGGAAACUCUGAUGCAGCGAUGCCGCGUGAGUGAAGAAGGCCUUUGGGUUGUAAAGCUCUUUCGUCGGGGAAGAAAAUGACUGUACCCGAAUAAGAAGGUCCGGCUAACUUCGUGCCAGCAGCCGCGGUAAUACGAAGGGACCUAGCGUAGUUCGGAAUUACUGGGCUUAAAGAGUUCGUAGGUGGUUGAAAAAGUUAGUGGUGAAAUCCCAGAGCUUAACUCUGGAACUGCCAUUAAAACUUUUCAGCUAGAGUAUGAUAGAGGAAAGCAGAAUUUCUAGUGUAGAGGUGAAAUUCGUAGAUAUUAGAAAGAAUACCAAUUGCGAAGGCAGCUUUCUGGAUCAUUACUGACACUGAGGAACGAAAGCAUGGGUAGCGGAGAGGAUUAGAUACCCUCGUAAUCCAUGCCGUAAACGAUGUGUGUUAGACGUUGGAAAUUUAUUUUCAGUGUCGCAGCGAAAGCGAUAAACACACCGCCUGGGGAGUACGACCGCAAGGUUAAAACUCAAAUGAAUUGACGG
This 558-nucleotide ribosomal RNA is filed under the name uncultured bacterium. Its description in RNAcentral is "bacterial SSU rRNA". It matches the Rfam family "Bacterial small subunit ribosomal RNA", at positions 338 to 916 of the family's 1533-position model. The record is from RNAcentral.